AAACCAGAAAUCAGCAUGUUUCAAUAGUCAAGGUGAGAUGGAUAAAUACAUGACUAUGACGGUCUUUUGUGACACUCAUGAAAAGUAUGGAGGGAAUCUUAAACGUUACAGUGAAGAUGAAGUUCUAGCAAAAGUUCCUGAUGUGUCUUUGUUGGGAGAAAAGUUGAACAAAAGAUAACUCCUGGAUUUUUUUGUACAGUCACGUUGGGUAAUGGCACUUCAAUAAAACCACAGACAGGUGCCUUUGCCUGGCAGGACAAAUAAUAAGCAUCUCAUUUUUUUCAGGGUUAAGAAAGAAAAUAUAAUCAGGUCAUCAAGAGUUAAAUCUCAACAGGUCGAUCCUUCAGAUUACAGCAGUUGUGUGGGGCGUGGGUAGUUAGUGAAGUUCAGUAUCGUCAUCGUCACAGUGAGAGCUGCAGUCAACUGCGGGACUCCGCAGGUGACAUUACAAUACUGCGUGAAUUACACGGUGCGUCCUCUCUGACAGAUCAAAUCUGAGGCAAAAAUUUCAAGCCUUAAAACAAUAAACAUUUCAAGGCAAUCUAGUCGUGUCUCAUGAUCGAUGGAAUCAAAUGCGGCACUGAGGUCAAGAGGUUUCUGUGUACAGAGCUAGUAAAAGCCCCAUUAGCCAUUAGCCACUCGCCACUUUGGCGAGGGCCGUGCCUUUACAGUAAUCUGCCCUGAAUCUGCGUUGAAAUAGUUCAAACACAUUAUGAGAAACUAUGUCGUCAUUGAUCUAUUGUGCUAUGAUUUUUUUUUUCAAGAAAUUUGGAGAUAAAGAGGCACGGGCCUAUAUUUGAAGACUAUAAUAAUGCUGAAAUAUUUGACCAAACACGAGACUGGUAGCAGCAUAGUCACUCGCAAAAUAUGUCUUUCUGCCAAUACAAUGAGAGCCCAGGUGAAAUAGAAACAAUGAAACCGAGAAAUGCAGAUUUUUUUGGAGCCCUGCAACAAUGUGCCAUCUUACAAAACGUUAUACUCUGGGACACUCGAUGAGACUAACUGCUCGUUGAA
Long non-coding RNA from Hippocampus comes (tiger tail seahorse), 1014 nucleotides. RefSeq lists it as uncharacterized. The record is from RefSeq and is a predicted model, not a curated record. The transcript has 2 exons. NCBI's taxonomy places the organism in Eukaryota, Metazoa, Chordata, Actinopteri, Syngnathiformes, Syngnathidae.